Long non-coding RNA from Trifolium pratense (red clover), 948 nucleotides. RefSeq lists it as uncharacterized. The transcript has 3 exons. NCBI's taxonomy places the organism in Eukaryota, Viridiplantae, Streptophyta, Magnoliopsida, Fabales, Fabaceae. The record is from RefSeq and is a predicted model, not a curated record.
UUCACCGGUAGUGGAAUCCUAAUAGUGUUAUUAGUUUUUUCAUAUUCCCACUUUCCACUACCGAUCUAGCUUAUCACCGGUAGUGGAAUCCUAAUAGUGUUAAUUAUAUUUUUCAUUCUUCCCAAUUUCCCUCAUUCUGCAAACGCGAAGAAGAACACACUCUCCAAUCCAAUCGUCCCAAUUCUAGUUCUCCCUAAUUUGUUCCUCAAAUCGUCCCAAUUUCUUCAAAUCAAACACUCUCCAAUCGUUCUCCAAUCAUUCUCCAAUCUCUCCAAUCUCCAAUCGUCCCAAUUUCAUUCGCGGUUUCAUUCUCCAAACCCUAGACGGAACGACGAACCUGCAAACGCUUAAUCGCCUCCAAAUCUCUUCGUUUUCAUUCGGUAAAGGGGUGGAGCUGUUUUCUGUGUUAGGCGGUGGUUGCUGCUCCUACGUGUUGACUGCUGCUGUUUAGGGGCUGGUGUUGCUGUUUUUUGGUGUUGUCCUCUUUGUUUGAAGUUAGAAGGUUCAAUCACGGUCUCAUCUACAGGUAUGGACCGUAGUUGGAUGAGAGCUAAUCGAUUAAGUACUGAGUACAGACAUGGAGUGAUGGAAUUUCUACAGUUUGCGGAAAGUAAUGCUGAACUAGAACGUCCUCCUCCUGAAUUUCCUCCACUUUUUCUAUGUCCGUGUAUAAAUUGUGCAAAUAAAGAACCAAAACGUACUAAGAAAGAAAUCAUGAAUCAUCUAAUUUGUGACGGGAUUUGUCAAAAUUAUACACAAUGGAUAUGGCACGGUGAAGUAGUAGCAACGCCAAGUGUGUCCCAUAGAGAAAGUGGUAGUGUGGAUAUCGAUGAUCGACUAGAAGACAUGAUGCGUGAUAUUGGAGAAGAUUCGUUUAAGAGGGCGCAUGUGUAUGAAACUUUAUGCAGUGACAAGGAUGAACCAUUGUAUCCGGGAUGCACAAAUUUU